UACGGGGGGGGCAAGCGUUGUUCGGAAUUACUGGGCGUAAAGGGCUUGUAGGCGGCCAACUAAGUCAGACGUGAAAUCCCUCGGCUUAACCGGGGAACUGCGUCUGAUACUGGAUGGCUUGAGUUCGGGAGAGGGAUGCGGAAUUCCAGGUGUAGCGGUGAAAUGCGUAGAUAUCUGGAGGAACACCGGUGGCGAAGGCGGCAUCCUGGACCAACACUGACGCUGAGGAGCGAAAGCCAGGGGAGCAAACGGG
Molecule: ribosomal RNA, 253 nt
Filed under: uncultured bacterium
Lineage: Bacteria
Description: partial 16S ribosomal RNA
Rfam family: Bacterial small subunit ribosomal RNA
Source: RNAcentral